GAUGAACGCUAGCUACAGGCUUAACACAUGCAAGUCGAGGGGAAACGACAUCGAAAGCUUGCUUUUGAUGGGCGUCGACCGGCGCACGGGUGAGUAACGCGUAUCCAACCUGCCCAUCACUUGGGAAUAACCUUGCGAAAGUAAGACUAAUACCCAAUGAUAUCCCACGAAGGCAUCGGAAUGGGAUUAAAGAUUUAUCGGUGAUGGAUGGGGAUGCGUCUGAUUAGCUUGUUGGCGGGGUAACGGCCCACCAAGGCAACGAUCAGUAGGGGUUCUGAGAGGAAGGUCCCCCACAUUGGAACUGAGACACGGUCCAAACUCCUACGGGAGGCAGCAGUGAGUAAUAUUGGUCAAUGGGCGAGAGCCUGAACCAGCCAAGUAGCGUGCAGGAAGACGGCCCUAUGGGUUGUAAACUGCUUUUAUAAGGGAAUAAAGUGGGUCACGUGUGACUUUUUGCAUGUACCUUAUGAAUAAGGACCGGCUAAUUCCGUG
RNAcentral lists this ribosomal RNA (492 nucleotides) under uncultured bacterium. RNAcentral's name for it is "partial 16S ribosomal RNA". It matches the Rfam family "Bacterial small subunit ribosomal RNA", at positions 28 to 507 of the family's 1533-position model. The record is from RNAcentral.